UGGGGAAUUUUGGACAAUGGGCGCAAGCCUGAUCCAGCAAUGCCGCGUGCGGGAAGAAGGCCUUCGGGUUGUAAACCGCUUUUGGCAGGAACGAAACGGUGUCCGCUAAUACCGGGCGCUAAUGACGGUACCUGCAGAAUAAGCACCGGCUAACUACGUGCCAGCAGCCGCGGUAAUACGUAGGGUGCGAGCGUUAAUCGGAAUUACUGGGCGUAAAGCGUGCGCAGGCGGUUGUGUAAGACAGGCGUGAAAUCCCCGGGCUCAACUGGGAAUGGCGCUUGUGACUGCACGGCUGGAGUGCGGCAGAGGGGGAUGGAAUUCCGCGUGUAGCAGUGAAAUGCGUAGAUAUGCGGAGGAACACCGAUGGCGAAGGCAAUCCCCUGGGCCUGCACUGACGCUCAUGCACGAAAGCGUGGGGAGCAAACAGGAUUAGAUACCCUGGUAGUCCACGCCCUAAACGAUGUCGACUGGUUGUUGGGUCUUAGGUGACUCAGUAACGAAGCUAACGCGUGAAGUCGACCGCCUGGGGAGUAC
RNAcentral lists this ribosomal RNA (534 nucleotides) under uncultured bacterium. Its description in RNAcentral is "partial 16S ribosomal RNA". It matches the Rfam family "Bacterial small subunit ribosomal RNA", at positions 355 to 883 of the family's 1533-position model. The record is from RNAcentral.